This 305-nucleotide ribosomal RNA is filed under the name uncultured bacterium. Its description in RNAcentral is "bacterial SSU rRNA". It matches the Rfam family "Bacterial small subunit ribosomal RNA", at positions 333 to 655 of the family's 1533-position model. The record is from RNAcentral.
UUGCCCCUACGAGGCGCAGCAGUGGGGAAUAUUGCACAAUGGGGGAAACCCUGAUGCAGCGACGCCGCGUGUGUGAAGAAGUAUUUCGGUAUGUAAAGCUCUAUCAGCAGGGAAGAAAAUGACGGUACCUGACUAAGAAGCCCCGGCUAACUACGUGCCAGCAGCCGCGGUAAUACGUAGGGGGCAAGCGUUAUCCGGAUUUACUGGGUGUAAAGGGAGCGUAGGCGGCAAGAUAAGCCAGAAGUGAAAGCCCGCGGCUCAACUGCGGGACUGCUUUUGGAACUAUCUAGCUAGAUUGCAGGAGG